This 72-nucleotide microRNA precursor is filed under the name Tursiops truncatus (common bottlenose dolphin). RNAcentral's name for it is "miRNA (ENSTTRG00000024277.1)". Lineage: Eukaryota; Metazoa; Chordata; Mammalia; Artiodactyla; Delphinidae. The record is from RNAcentral.
GUUGGCCAAACAGUUCAUUCGGGUUUUUCCAUAACAUCUUAUAGAAAAACCCGAACAAACUGUUUUGCCAAC